Molecule: ribosomal RNA, 661 nt
Filed under: Arthrobacter sp. Muzt-F01
Lineage: Bacteria; Bacillati; Actinomycetota; Actinomycetes; Micrococcales; Micrococcaceae
Description: bacterial SSU rRNA
Rfam family: Bacterial small subunit ribosomal RNA
Source: RNAcentral
AUGCAAGUCGAACGAUGAACCUCACUUGUGGGGGGAUUAGUGGCGAACGGGUGAGUAACACGUGAGUAACCUGCCCUUGACUCUGGGAUAAGCCUGGGAAACCGGGUCUAAUACUGGAUACGACCUUCCCGCGCAUGCGGUGUUGGUGGAAAGCUUUUGUGGUUUUGGAUGGACUCGCGGCCUAUCAGCUUGUUGGUGGGGUAAUGGCCUACCAAGGCGACGACGGGUAGCCGGCCUGAGAGGGUGACCGGCCACACUGGGACUGAGACACGGCCCAGACUCCUACGGGAGGCAGCAGUGGGGAAUAUUGCACAAUGGGCGCAAGCCUGAUGCAGCGACGCCGCGUGAGGGAUGAAGGCCUUCGGGUUGUAAACCUCUUUCAGUAGGGAAGAAGCUGAUUCCUUUUGGGGUUGGUGACGGUACCUGCAGAAGAAGCGCCGGCUAACUACGUGCCAGCAGCCGCGGUAAUACGUAGGGCGCAAGCGUUAUCCGGAAUUAUUGGGCGUAAAGAGCUCGUAGGCGGUUUGUCGCGUCUGCCGUGAAAGUNCGGGGCUUNACUCCGGAUCUGCGUGGGUACNGGCAACUAAAGUGCANUAGGGGAACUGGAAUUCCUGGUGUACGGUGAAAUGCCCAAAUUCAGGAGGAACACCAUGGCGAAGGC